This 654-nucleotide long non-coding RNA is filed under the name Mus spicilegus (steppe mouse). RNAcentral describes it as "lncRNA (ENSMSIG00000022040.1)". Lineage: Eukaryota; Metazoa; Chordata; Mammalia; Rodentia; Muridae. The record is from RNAcentral.
UAUAAGAAGUGAACAUAACUAUUUUACUAGUGGUCACAUUUACUAAAUGCAGUAAGCUUUCUGUGGCUUUUGUUUUGUCAGGUAUUGCUGCUUUCAUGCUGGGUUCCACGGCCUGAAUGGUGCUUCCAUCCUGGAGUCAGUUGUGCUAAGGUCUCGGGCCUGUUACACAUCAAAAGUAAAGACAGAAACAUACUUAUUCUCUACUGUGACAAUUAUACCAGGGAGAUGUAUGGUACACCAGGGGGACGGAACUGCAAAUGGCUGAAAGCAUGUCCUACAGUCCUGCGAGAGGAGAGUUCCACAGAUAUCACAGGGAGUGCCAUGCCAUCUGGUAAGAGACUCUCAGACAUCGUUUAGAUAAUUUGGGCAAGCGGCAGGAUUUUAUUUCCCCCUCUAAAUUGUUUAAUGUUAAAUCCAGGUACAAAGGUGGACAUGAGUGGACAUUGUCCCACCCCCUGCUUGGCAAGUCUUGAGAUUCUUCCUUCAUUGGUAGAAAAACGUGUGACACUUAAGUUCCGCACUGAAGCUUGACCUCUAAUCUGUCCCCAGAGUCUCCUGCCUUCUGCUGGAACCAAAAGCCAUGUCGCGUUACUGAAGACACAAGCCAGUGAGAGCUGGACCCAGUGGUGUGGUUUGGUCCCAGCUACCCAAGAG